Molecule: ribosomal RNA, 486 nt
Filed under: uncultured bacterium
Lineage: Bacteria
Description: partial 16S ribosomal RNA
Rfam family: Bacterial small subunit ribosomal RNA
Source: RNAcentral
AUUGAACGCUGGCGGCAUGCCUUACACAUGCAAGUCGAGCGGCAGCACGGGUGCUUGCCCCUGGUGGCGAGUGGCGAACGGGUGAGUAAUACAUCGGAACAUGUCCUGUAGUGGGGGAUAGCCCGGCGAAAGCCGGAUUAAUACCGCAUACGAUCUACGGAUGAAAGCGGGGGACCUUCGGGCCUCGCGCUAUAGGGUUGGCCGAUGGCUGAUUAGCUAGUUGGUGGGGUAAAGGCCUACCAAGGCGACGAUCAGUAGAUGGUCUGAGAGGACGACCAGCCACACUGGGACUGAGGCACGGCCCAGACUCCUACGGGAGGCAGCAGUGGGGAAUUUUGGACAAUGGGCGAAAGCCUGAUCCAGCAAUGCCGCGUGUGUGAAGAAGGCCUUCGGGUUGUAAAGCACUUUUGUCCGGAAAGAAAUCCUUGGCUCUAAUACAGUCGGGGGAUGACGGUACCGGAAGAAUAAGCACCGGCUAACUACGUG